Molecule: ribosomal RNA, 465 nt
Filed under: uncultured Klebsiella sp.
Lineage: Bacteria; Pseudomonadati; Pseudomonadota; Gammaproteobacteria; Enterobacterales; Enterobacteriaceae
Description: bacterial SSU rRNA
Rfam family: Bacterial small subunit ribosomal RNA
Source: RNAcentral
CCUACGGGUGGCAGCAGUGGGGAAUAUUGCACAAUGGGCGCAAGCCUGAUGCAGCCAUGCCGCGUGUGUGAAGAAGGCCUUCGGGAUGUAAAGCACUUUCAGCGGGGAGGAAGGCGGUGAGGUUAAUAACCUCAUCGAUUGACGUUACCCGCAGAAGAAGCACCGGCUAACUCCGUGCCAGCAGCCGCGGUAAUACGGAGGGUGCAAGCGUUAAUCGGAAUUACUGGGCGUAAAGCGCACGCAGGCGGUCUGUCAAGUCGGAUGUAAAAUCCCCGGGCUCAACCUGGGAACUGCAUUCGAAACUGGCAGGCUAGAGUCUUGUAGAGGGGGGUAGAAUUCCAGGUGUAGCGGUGAAAUGCGUAGAGAUCUGGAGGAAUACCGGUGGCGAAGGCGGCCCCCUGGACAAAGACUGACGCUCAGGUGCGAAAGCGUGGGGAGCAAACAGGAUUAGAUACCCGAGUAGUC